GCUGGGGCGGGAGGUUGGGGGGGGCGGCGCAGCUGGGACCCAGAGAGGGGGCCCGCAGACCCUAGAAGGGGCAGCCUUCAGCAGGCAGCCGCUCAAGCGGGUGGCCCUGAUAAACAAGUGAAUUUCCGGUGACAGGUACAAAGUCCAGAGCUGAAGAGGGAGAAUUGUAGGCCUGUGAAGGCCGCAGGCAGGAACCAGAGGGGAGGAGGCGAGCAUUCUCCAGGCAAAGCCAGAGGGACCAAGGACACUCAAAACUGCCUGCAAAAGAGAAAUAGGAAGCAGCACUAUCAGCUGAGAGCGAAGAGUCCAGAGGGAGUACUGGGGUUCAAGAAGAGAAGAGAAGAGAAGAGAAAGUGUCUGGCAGGCAGAGGAUGGUCAAUAAAAACUUGUUGAAGGAAUGAAUGGUUGGAAUUCCAGGGGCCUCACUUGCUCUCUCAAGGUCUGGAAAGGAGGAAAGCUGGUCCCACCUGAGACGCUAGGAGUGUUGGUGCAUUACCGUGUAGAAAUCCUCUGGUGGCCGGCACCACUCACGCCUGGGAGGAGACAUCGCUCCCCACAGGGACAGAAAGCCCACUUCUGCGUGCAGUUGCCCGGCACCCACUCAGACUUCCCAGUUGGAACAAGCAUCCCCUCCUCAGGGUGGGGGCAAGGAUGGAGGACAAACAUGACUUCUGGGAAGAGGGUUAAGAAAAGGGUGGGACAUCCCUCUGACACCGAUGACAUCCCUAUGUCACCACAAAUGAAUCAUGAGAGCUAAUGGGCUGGCGUUGUCACUCCUCCUUAUCCUCAAAUAGCAUUUCAAGCCAGACUGAACAGCCAGGAAGCAAUCCCCGGGGCUCCGCCAGUCUGUGGACCCUGCAGGAUCCUGCUGUGGUCUGUAGUGGCAGCUUUCCCUCAUAAAAUGUGCUUUGUAUUGGAAGUAGGCUUGCUGUUGUUUGAGGCAGGAGGACAAUGAGUCAUUUGUGUCCAGUGCUAGUGGUUCUAGGAUUUCAGAGUGACCUAGGGUGAAGCAAGGACCUGGUGUACCUUAAAGGCAAGACACACUGAAAAUCCAUGACUUCCCGUCUCUGCCAGCCCACCCUUGCCUUUUAAAGGGUCCCCACUCGAUCAUGACACAGCACAGAGAUGAGCUCAUUAUUUUUCCAGACUAAAACCUCUAAUGCUUUCUGAGUACAUAGGGUUUGGCUUUUAAAAAUCACUUUUAAGAGCUUGGAGAUGACACAUGCAGAGAGCAACCACCCGCUGCGAAUGCUGGCAGGGACUAUGAACCCGCUUGCUAUCUCAGUGGGAUGGAUUUUGUUGUUGUUUUGUUUUCAUUGAAGUAUAGUUAAUGUUGUGUUAAUUUCUGGUGUACAGCAAAGUGAAUGAGUCACACAUAUAUAUACAUAUUCUUAUAUUGUUUUUCAUUAUGGGUUAUUACAAGGUACUGAAAAUAAUUCCCUGUGCUAUACAGUAUAAACCUGUUGUCUAUCUAUUUUAUAUAUAGUAGUUUUGAUCUGCUAAUACCAAAUUCC
Long non-coding RNA from Camelus dromedarius (Arabian camel), 1514 nucleotides. RefSeq lists it as uncharacterized. NCBI's taxonomy places the organism in Eukaryota, Metazoa, Chordata, Mammalia, Artiodactyla, Camelidae. The transcript is spliced from 4 exons. The record is from RefSeq and is a predicted model, not a curated record.